UCAGUUAUCGUUUAUUUGAUAGUACCUUACUACAUGGAUACCUGUGGUAAUUCUAGAGCUAAUACAUGCUACAAACCCCGACUUCGGAAGGGGUGUAUUUAUUAAAUAAAAAACCAACGCCCUUCGGGGCUCCUUGGUGAAUCAUAAUAACUUAACGAAUCGCAUGGCCUUGCGCCGGCGAUGGUUCAUUCAAAUUUCUGCCCUAUCAACUUUCGAUGGUAGGAUAGUGGCCUACCAUGGUGGCAACGGGUAACGGGGAAUUAGGGUUCGAUUCCGGAGAGGGAGCCUGAGAAACGGCUACCACAUCCAAGGAAGGCAGCAGGCGCGCAAAUUACCCAAUCCCGAUACGGGGAGGUAGUGACAAUAAAUACUGAUACGGGGCUCUUUCGGGUCUCGUAAUUGGAAUGAGAACAAUUUAAAUCCCUUAACGAGGAACAAUUGGAGGGCAAGUCUGGUGCCAGCAGCCGCGGUAAUUCCAGCUCCAAUAGCGUAUAUUAAAGUUGUUGCAGUUAAAAAGYUMGUAGUUGAACCUUGGGCCUGGCUGGCCGGUCCGCCUCACCGCGAGUACUGGUCCGGCUGGGCCUUUCCUUCUGGGGAACCUCAUGGCCUUCACUGGCUGUGGGGGGAACCAGGACUUUUACUGUGAAAAAAUUAGAGUGUUCAAAGCAGGCCUUUGCUCGAAUACAUUAGCAUGGAAUAAUAGAAUAGGACGUGCGGUUCUAUUUUGUUGGUUUCUAGGACCGCCGUAAUGAUUAAUAGGGAUAGUCGGGGGCGUCAGUAUUCAGCUGUCAGAGGUGAAAUUCUUGGAUUUGCUGAAGACUAACUACUGCGAAAGCAUUCGCCAAGGAUGUUUUCAUUAAUCAGGGAACGAAAGUUAGGGGAUGGAAGACGAUCAGAUACCGUCGUAGUCUUACCCAUAAACUAUCCCGCCUAGGGAUCGGACGGGAUUCUAUG
RNAcentral lists this ribosomal RNA (954 nucleotides) under Penicillium citrinum. RNAcentral describes it as "SSU rRNA". Lineage: Eukaryota; Fungi; Ascomycota; Eurotiomycetes; Eurotiales; Aspergillaceae. The record is from RNAcentral.